UACGUAGGGUGCAAGCGUUGUCCGGAAUUAUUGGGCGUAAAGAGCUCGUAGGCGGUUUGUCGCGUCUGCUGUGAAAACGCGAGGCUCAACCUCGCGCCUGCAGUGGGUACGGGCAGACUGGAGUGCGGUAGGGGGAGAUUGGAAUUCCUGGUGUAGCGGUGGAAUGCGCAGAUAUCAGGAGGAACACCGAUGGCGAAGGCAGAUCUCUGGGCCGUAACUGACGCUGAGGAGCGAAAGCAUGGGGAGCGAACAGG
This 254-nucleotide ribosomal RNA is filed under the name uncultured bacterium. Its description in RNAcentral is "partial 16S ribosomal RNA". It matches the Rfam family "Bacterial small subunit ribosomal RNA", at positions 524 to 776 of the family's 1533-position model. The record is from RNAcentral.